This 219-nucleotide long non-coding RNA is filed under the name Hordeum vulgare. Its description in RNAcentral is "long non-coding RNA (HVUL_LNC015702)". Lineage: Eukaryota; Viridiplantae; Streptophyta; Magnoliopsida; Poales; Poaceae. The record is from RNAcentral.
UAUGAUAUAUCUUACUUUGUGCUCACUACUUAAUAAAAAAUUAGUGUUAAUUAAAAUUAUCUUUGAAAUACCUUGAGAUUUGGGUGGAUCAAUUACUUGGGCACUAUAUGCCUAGCUUAAUGGCUUUAAAGAAAGCAUUCUCGGGGAGACAACCCGAAAGUUUUGGAGGGUCAUUUAUUUAUCUUUGUGUGAUUUUAAAAAGUUCAAAAACAAAAAAAU